UUUGAUUGAGUUGAGAAAUAUUUGGUUAUCCUGUUUAAUCUGUCGAAAACCUAUGCCUUGUUCUUUUGUUUGUGGUUUUAACAGAGAAAAAUCUUUUUAGCAAUUUCUCUGAGUUUUUCAAAACAUGUCCUGUUAAUUAAUUUUUUCUUGUUUAUAUAUGCUCAUUGUUGGUUAUAAGAUAACUUGCCAAGCUAUCCUUUCUCCAGAUUUUGUGGGAUGACUAAUCUUAUGGAUUUAAGGUUGUUGGUUUGGAUAUUGGAAUGUGAUCUUUGAACGUUCUUCAUGGUUUGUUGUGUAAAGAGUUAAUCUGUUUGUUCCAUCCUUUAUUUUCUAGUUUUUAAAGUGCUUAUUUGGAUAAGCUGUUUUUUUUUUAAAUUGUGAAUUGGUUUUGCAGGUUUGCAAAAGGUGAGUGGACAUUGAGUGAAGGGAGGGCGGCGCCAACUUUGGAGGCUAAAAUUGGGGCGUGAAUUUCAACCAUUGGCUUUGAAGAAGUCCUUGAAGAUUUGCUACUUUAGACGGGUGUUUUUACAGCGUAUUCCAAGUUUCAACUUAUUUUAAAUGUACUCCAAACUCUGUAAUAAUAUUGGUAUUUAAUAUUAGAAAUUUGAAAUUAAACAGCUUAUUCCAAUUUUCAACUUAUUUUAAAUGUACUCCAAACUCUGUAAUAAUAUUGGGAUUUAAUAUUAGAAAUUUGAAAUUGAUUAGAAUACUUCAGCUUUUGAAAAGUUGGGUUA
RNAcentral lists this long non-coding RNA (734 nucleotides) under Lathyrus oleraceus (garden pea). RNAcentral describes it as "Pisum sativum (pea) long non-coding RNA (PSAT_LNC008132)". The record is from RNAcentral. Lineage: Eukaryota; Viridiplantae; Streptophyta; Magnoliopsida; Fabales; Fabaceae.